UACGGAGGGGGCUAGCGUUGUUCGGAAUUACUGGGCGUAAAGCGCACGUAGGCGGCUUUGUAAGUUAGAGGUGAAAGCCCGGGGCUCAACUCCGGAAUUGCCUUUAAGACUGCAUCGCUAGAAUUGUGGAGAGGUAAGUGGAAUUCCGAGUGUAGAGGUGAAAUUCGUAGAUAUUCGGAAGAACACCAGUGGCGAAGGCGACUUACUGGACACAUAUUGACGCUGAGGCGCGAAAGCUAGGGUAGCAAACGGG
This 253-nucleotide ribosomal RNA is filed under the name uncultured bacterium. RNAcentral's name for it is "partial 16S ribosomal RNA". It matches the Rfam family "Bacterial small subunit ribosomal RNA", at positions 524 to 776 of the family's 1533-position model. The record is from RNAcentral.